Mus pahari (shrew mouse) is the source of this 143-nucleotide small nucleolar RNA. RefSeq annotates it as small nucleolar RNA SNORA48. The transcript has a single exon. The record is from RefSeq and is a predicted model, not a curated record. Lineage: Eukaryota; Metazoa; Chordata; Mammalia; Rodentia; Muridae.
UCCCCCUGACAAUGGGCAAAGAAACACUUUGUUGGUGGUUGUGUUCUACAUCAGUCAGGGGCAGAGCAGAUGGCCGUCCUUUGUUCACCCUAGCUUGAUGCCUGGCUUGGUGGCCAAAGCUAUUUUAUGCCUAGGACUCAUAG